UACAGAGGGUGCAAGCGUUAAUCGGAAUUACUGGGCGUAAAGGGCGCGUAGGCGGCUUGGUAAGUCGGAUGUGAAAGCCCCGGGCUUAACCUGGGAACUGCAUUCGAGACUGCCUGGCUAGAGUAUGAUAGAGGGAAGCGGAAUUCCACAUGUAGCGGUGAAAUGCGUAGAUAUGUGGAGGAACAUCAGUGGCGAAGGCGGCUUCCUGGAUCAAUACUGACGCUGAGGCGCGAAAGCGUGGGGAGCAAAC
RNAcentral lists this ribosomal RNA (250 nucleotides) under uncultured bacterium. Its description in RNAcentral is "partial 16S ribosomal RNA". It matches the Rfam family "Bacterial small subunit ribosomal RNA", at positions 524 to 773 of the family's 1533-position model. The record is from RNAcentral.